AGAGUUUGAUCUGGCUCAGGAUGAACGCUGGCGGCGUGCUUAACACAUGCAAGUCGAACGGGGUUAUCAUUUUUGAAGCGAUUAGCUUGCUAAGAGUGGAAAAGUUGAUAACUUAGUGGCGGACGGGUGAGUAACGCGUGGGUAACCUGCCUUACACAGGGGGAUAACACUUAGAAAUAGGUGCUAAUACCGCAUAAGCGCACAGUCCCGCAUGGGACAGAGUGAAAAACAUUAGUGGUGUAAGAUGGACCCGCGUCUGAUUAGCUUGUUGGCGGGGUAACGGCCCACCAAGGCGACGAUCAGUAGCCGGCCUGAGAGGGUGGACGGCCACAUUGGGACUGAGACACGGCCCAAACUCCUACGGGAGGCAGCAGUGGGGGAUAUUGGACAAUGGGGGAAACCCUGAUCCAGCGACGCCGCGUGAGUGAAGAAGUAUUUCGGUAUGUAAAGCUCUAUCAGCAGGGAAGAAAGAAAUGACGGUACCUGAGUAAGAAGCCCCGGCUAACUACGUGCCAGCAGCCGCGGUAAUACGUAGGGGGCAAGCGUUAUCCGGAAUUACUGGGUGUAAAGGGAGCGUAGACGGUAAUGCAAGUCUGGAGUGAAAGGCGGGGGCCCAACCCCCGGACUGCUCUGGAAACCGUGUAACUGGAGUGCAGGAGAGGCAGGCGGAAUUCCUAGUGUAGCGGUGAAAUGCGUAGAUAUUAGGAGGAACACCAGUGGCGAAGGCGGCCUGCUGGACUGUAACUGACGUUGAGGCUCGAAAGCGUGGGGAGCAAACAGGAUUAGAUACCCUGGUAGUCCACGCCGUAAACGAUGAUUACUAGGUGUGGGGGGGGUAUGGGACCCAUCGGUGCCGCAACAAACGCAGUAAGUAAUCCACCCUGGGGAGUACGUUCGCAAGAAUGAAACUCAAAGGAAUUGACGGGGACCCGCACAAGCGGUGGAGCAUGUGGUUUAAUCCGAAGCAGCGCGAAGAACCUUACCAAGUCUUGACAUCCUCCUGAAUAAAGGGUAACGCCUUUAGGCCUUCGGGACAGGAGAGACAGGUGGUGCAUGGUUGUCGUCAGCUCGUGUCGUGAGAUGUUGGGUUAAGUCCCGCAACGAGCGCAACCCUUAUCUUUAGUAGCCAGCAGGCAAGGCUGGGCACUCUAGAGAGACUGCCGGGGAUAACCCGGAGGAAGGUGGGGAUGACGUCAAAUCAUCAUGCCCCUUAUGAUUUGGGCUACACACGUGCUACAAUGGCGUAAACAGAGGGAAGCGAGCCCGCGAGGGGGAGCAAAUCCCAAAAAUAACGUCCCAGUUCGGAUUGUAGUCUGCAACCCGACUACAUGAAGCUGGAAUCGCUAGUAAUCGCGGAUCAGAAUGCCGCGGUGAAUACGUUCCCGGGUCUUGCACACACCGCCC
Molecule: ribosomal RNA, 1404 nt
Filed under: uncultured bacterium
Lineage: Bacteria
Description: bacterial SSU rRNA
Rfam family: Bacterial small subunit ribosomal RNA
Source: RNAcentral